RNA transcript from Vitis riparia (riverbank grape), 6003 nucleotides. It is a transcript of the gene named sister chromatid cohesion protein PDS5 homolog A, with no coding region annotated. NCBI's taxonomy places the organism in Eukaryota, Viridiplantae, Streptophyta, Magnoliopsida, Vitales, Vitaceae. The record is from RefSeq and is a predicted model, not a curated record. The transcript has 34 exons.
UUAGAGUUCAUUUCGCAGUGGUGUUGGGAGAAACCCUCUUUUCGUCUCACUUUUCACGCCCUAUCGACCCGAUGGUACGGUGAGAGAGCUCGUGAAGCUCGAAACGUCGCCGUUUUUGGUCAAGAGAAUGGAUCAGAAGCGUCAGCAGCAGCUCAGGGACGUCGGAUCGAAGCUCGAGAACCCUCCGGCCACCAAAGACGCUCUCGUUAAGCUCUUAAAGCAAGCUGCAACAUGUUUAACUGAGUUGGAUCAAUCACCGUCAGCAUCAAUUUUGGAAUCACUGCAGCCUUCUCUGAAUGCAAUUGUCAAGCCAGAACUGCUGAAACACCAAGAUAGGGAUGUUAAGCUUCUCGUUGCAACAUGUAUUUGUGAGAUAACCCGGAUUACAGCACCUGAGGCUCCUUAUAGUGAUGAUGUUCUGAAGGAUAUCUUUCGCUUGAUUGUGAGCACUUUUAGUGGGUUAAGUGAUACAAAUGGUCCAGCAUUUGGAAGGAGAGUUGUUAUCUUGGAGACUCUAGCAAGAUAUAGGUCAUGUGUUGUGAUGUUGGAUCUUGAGUGUGAUGAUCUAGUGAAUGAAAUGUUCCGUACAUUUUUUUCUGUUGCAAGGGAUGAUCAUCCUGAAAGUGUCCUAACAUCAAUGCAAACUAUCAUGGUUGUUCUCUUGGAAGAGAGUGAGGAUGUUCGGGAAGAUCUUUUAUUUUCUAUCCUGUCUAUUUUAGGUUGCAAUAAGAGUGAUGUUACGACAGCUGCAAGGAAGCUUGCUAUGAAUGUUAUAGAGCAUUGUGCAGCAAAACUUGAACCUGGCAUAAAACAGUUUCUGGUGUCAUCGAUUUCAGGAGAUAACAGGUCGAUGAACAGCGAAAUUGACUACCAUGAAGUUAUCUAUGACAUUUAUCGUUGUGCUCCUCAGAUCCUAUCGGGAGUUACUCCCUACCUCACAGGAGAGCUAUUGACAGAUAAUUUAGAUACUCGUUUGAAAGCGGUGAAAUUAGUUGGAGACCUGUUUGCUUUGCCGGGUUUGGCUAUUUCUGAAGCAUUUCAACCUAUAUUUUCGGAGUUUUUGAAGAGGUUGGCUGAUAGAGUAGUUGGGGUUCGUAUGUCUGUCCUUGAACAUGUCAAAAGUUGUCUGCUGUCCAAUCCUUCUAGAGCCGAGGCUCCUCAGAUCAUUUCUGCACUUUGUGACCGGCUGUUAGAUUAUGAUGAAAAUGUUCGGAAACAAGUUGUUGCUGUAAUUUGUGAUGUGGCCUGUCACUCCCUAAGUUCCAUCCCAGUUGAAACUGCAAAGCUAGUUGCUGAGCGUCUCCGAGACAAAUCUGUACUUGUUAAAAAGUAUACCCUAGAGAGGCUGGCUGAGAUCUACAAUCUUUAUUGCUUGAGAUGUUGUGAUGGCUCACUGAAUCCCAGUGAAUUUGAUUGGAUUCCUGGGAAGAUUCUAAGAUGUUUUUAUGAUAAAGAUUUCAGAUCAGAUACAAUUGAAUCGGUCCUGUGUGAGACCCUGUUUCCAACCGAAUUCUCAAUCAAAGAUAAGGUUAAACAUUGGGUAAGAGUUUUCUCAGGGUUUGACAAAGUUGAGGUCAAGGCUCUUGAAAAGAUACUGGAGCAGAAACAAAGGUUGCAACAAGAGAUGCAGAGGUAUCUGUCUCUUAAGCAGAUGCAUCAGGAUGGUGAAGGUCCUGAGAUCCAGAAAAAGGUCACCUACUGCCUCAGAAUUAUGUCUCGCUUGUUUGCUGACCCUGCAAAGGCUGAGGAGAAUUUUCAGAUACUUGAUCAAUUAAAAGAUGUUAACAUUUGGAAGAUUUUAUCAAGUUUAAUUGAUCCAAAGACUAGUUUCCAUCAAGCUUGUUCCUCUCGGGAUGAUUUGCUUAGGAUUCUUGGUGAGAAACACCGUCUGUAUGAUUUCUUAGGCACACUCUCUUUGAAGUGCUCUUAUUUACUUUUCAACAAGGAGCAUGUGAAAGAAUUCCUUCUGGAGGCUGCCAUUCAAAAAUCUUCUGGAAACACCCAAUAUAUUCAAUCUUGCAUGAAUGUAUUAGUGGUUCUUGCACGCUUCAGUCCGUUGCUACUGAGUGGGGCUGAAGAAGAUCUAGUUCAUCUUCUGAAAGAUGACAAUGAAAUAAUAAAAGAAGGUGUUUUACAUAUUCUAGCAAAAGCUGGUGGAACCAUCCGAGAACAACUGGCUGUGACAUCCAGUUCAGUGGAUCUUAUAUUGGAAAGGCUAUGUCUAGAAGGUAGUCGGAGACAAGCCAAGUAUGCUGUACAUGCGCUUGCAGCAAUAACAAAGGAUGAUGGGCUCAAGUCACUCUCUGUUUUAUACAAGAGGCUUGUGGAUAUGCUGGAUAAGAAGACGCAUUUGCCUGCUGUCCUACAGUCUCUUGGGUGCAUAGCACAGACUGCAAUGCCAGUUUUCGAGACUAGAGAGAGUGAGAUUGAAGGAUUUAUAAAAUGCGAAAUUCUAAAGUGUAGUAGUAAAGCAGAAGAUAAUGCAAAAGCAUGUUGGGAUGAUAGAAGUGAGCUUUGUCUAUUGAAGAUAUUUGGAAUCAAAACAAUGGUCAAGAGCUACUUGCCUGUCAAAGAUGCACAUCUUCGGCUUGGGAUUGAUGACCUUCUGGAAAUCCUUAAAAACAUUCUUUUGUUUGGAGAGAUUUCGGAAGAUAUAGAAUCAAGUGCAGUUGAUAAAGCCCAUUUGAGGCUUGCAGCUGCAAAGGCAAUUCUUCGUCUGGCUAGGCACUGGGAUCAUAAGAUACCUGUUGGUGUCUUUCACCUGACCUUGAAAACAUCAGAGAGUACUUUUCCUCAAGCAAAGAAACUGUUCCUGAGCAAAGUUCAUCAAUACAUAAAGGACCGCCUUUUGGAUGCAAAAUAUGCUUGUGCCUUCUCAUUUAACAUUGUUGGAUCCCAACCAUCUGAGUUUGAAGAGGACAAACACAACCUGGGUGAUAUCAUCCAAAUGUAUCAUCAAACCAAGGCACGGCAACUUUCUACACAGUCUGAUGCAAGCUCCCUGGCUUAUCCUGAAUUCAUACUCCCAUACUUGGUCCAUGCCCUUGCUCAUCAUUCUUGUCCUGAUAUCGAUGAAUGCAAGGAUGUCAAAGCAUUUGAACCAAUAUACUGGAAACUGCAUAUAUUUCUUUCUAUGCUGGUGCAUGGAGAUGAAGAUACCAAGGCAGAAGCUGGCGCUGACAAGGAAAAGGAGGGUAUUUCUGCGAUAAUCUCUAUCUUUCAAAGUAUCAAGCUCUCAGAAGAUAUAGUUGAUGCAGGAAAGUCAAAGAAUUCCCAUGCUCUUUGUGACCUUGGGCUGUCGAUCAUCAAGCGGUUAGUUCAAAAACAGGAUGAUGUUCAAGGGUUGACUUCAUCAAUCACUCUACCUCCAAUGCUGUACAAACUGUGUGAAAAGAAAGAGGGGGAUGAUUCUGUGGCCAGUGAAGGGCAAACGUGGCUGGCUGAUGAGAGUGUGUUGACCCACUUUGAAUCUCUUAAGUUAGAAACUAAUGGAAUGGUUGAUGAAGAAGGGGUCAUAAACGACAAUGAUAGAGAUGGAAAUGAAUUGCCGCUGGGGAAAAUGAUAAAACGCUUGAAAUCUAGGGGAACCAAAUCAAGAAAAGUGAAGAACAAGAAGUCUUCACCAGCUAAGAAGAAACAUGCUGAAAACGAUGUUGAUAUCUUGAAAAUGGUGAGGGAAAUAAAUUUUGAUGCUAUGGGAAUGUCUAGUAAAUUUGAAUCAAGCAAUGGUCAUGAAUAUUCGUCACAUAGAAAAGCAAAAAUGGGUCAGAAACAUGAAAAGAAGAAAAGAAGAAGAUCCGGUGAAGUAACACCAGUUACAGUACCUAAACGGCGUAGAUCAUCAUCUGCUAAAUCGUCUCUCCCAAGGAGUGCUUCAAAAGGUUCUGUAAGAGCUUUGCGUGAUAAUUUGCAUCAGGCAGGGGUAUCUUCAUUUCAGUCCACUGAUAUGGAUUCAGAAGUUCACACUGAUUCAGAGGAUAAAGCGUCUGCAUUGAAAAAUAUAGGCGAACCUGCUGAGUCAGACUUGUUGGUAUCAUGCUUCCGAAGGAAUUCAAACUUCUUAUCAAAACGCAAAGGAAAAGGCUCUGACAAGGGUGAUAAUGAUGAGGCUCGUAUUGUUGGAGAAGAUGAAGAUCAUGAUUUGAGGGAGCCUAAUGUGCCAAUGGAGACUGAUAAGAUCCAUACAGCAAGUAAUGUCAAGUCCCCCACAGGAUCUACCAAGAAGCGGAAAAGAAGAAGCAUUGCAGGAUUGGCAAAGUGCACAUCAAAGGAAGGGAGGAGUCAUGCUGCAGACUUGAUUGAUUGCAGAAUAAAAGUUUGGUGGCCAAUGGAUAAGCAGUUUUAUGAAGGUGUAGUGAAAUCUUAUGACCCUAAAGCAAGAAAACAUGUGGUAUUAUAUGAUGAUGGGGAUGUGGAAGUGCUUCGUUUAGGCAGGGAACGCUGGGAGCUUGUUGAAAAUGUUGCAAAGCCUGCUAAGAAGUUGAAUUCAUCAAAGACCCCACCUUCUAAAGGAGUAUCAGCUGACCAGAAAAAUAAGUUUUUGAAUGGUUCACAACAGAACAAGAAACCAAUUAAAUCCUCAUCCUCUAAAGUAAGAGGCAAAAGAACUCCAAGGAAAAAUUUGAAGCAUGUAGAGAAGGCUGGGUUAGAGAGUAACACUGCUACUGAAUUUUGUGAAGUUGAGAGCAGAGGGAGCUCUGAUGUAUCAAAUCCAGAACCUAAUGCAAUGUCCAAAGUUGAAGAUAUGAACUCAGGUGAUUCAGAAGAGAAACUGAAUGAAAGAUCGGAGAAGGGUCUUACUGGUGGGGAAGAAUCUGACAAGGAUGAGAAAUCAGUUUCGGAAGGGAAACAGGUGGAGGAUAAGGAGAAGAGGCCAAGUGAUACAGAGGAAUCAGAGAAGGAAGAAAAACCUUAUUCUGAGGGGAGACCUGUUGAGGAUAAGGAGGGCAUCUGCCAAGAUGCUCAGGAAUCCCCUGAAAAAAGGGAAUCUUAUUCAGAAGAGAGAAAACCAGAAGAAUCAAAAAGAGACUCACCUUCUGGUGAGGAAGCCAACAAAGAAGAGCAAUCAGAUUCUGAAGAGACUCAAGCAGAAAAUUUGGAGAGUAAUCCAACAGAUGUGGAUAAAUCUAGCAAGAAAACUUCAGAUCCUUCAAACACCGAGGAUGCCAAAAAUUCUGAUGAUGAGCCUCUUAGCAUGUGGAAGCGUCGAGUAGGAAAACCAGUCUAGAGUGCUGAUGAGUUUAGCAGUAAGGUCAUUAUACCCUGCCCCUCUCGUAAUAAUUCACAAAGCUGUGGUGUCAUGGUGAAUCCCCAGCUGAGGGUGAGAGAAGAUGAAUACCACAUAUGAUCUUAACUAUGCCUCACUAAUAAAUUGUAUGGUGGCCUACUGCAGCAUGUUGUAUGUAACAGUUGGCAUACCCAUGACGAUGCUAGAACAUUGGUGGAAUCCUGUAUGUGACCCCCCCCUGUAACUGAUGAAUGGUUUGCACCAGUCUCACCAAUGACUAUGGAUGAUGGAUUAUGGGUCUCAUGUACAGUCAUAGUUAACAUACACUGUAAUGCCUUCUCUCCCUCACUCUGUGUUGCUUUCUCUCAAUCUUUAGUGGAUCAUCGACUGAAUUUAAUAGAGCAGGUGGGGACUCACCAGUCAUCCAAUACGCUAAAAGAUAUAUUGUCUGAAUUUGACAACAGCGAAUUGCAGAAGAAUGAGUGGCCUGUUGGUGUGGUGGCACAUGGGGCCUCAGUUGAAUAAAGGUGGUGUUGGAAUUAUGAUAAGGAAACAGGUCAAGGUCAUGGGUGGGAAGGUGACGAUUGGGCAGACAAAUGAAGAAGAAAUGUUAUGAAAUGUGUGUUAUGAUGUUUGAAUAAUGGAGAAUGGUCUUCUGUUUUGAUUUGUGUAGAAACCAGGCCAUGGUCGAUAAUACGGACGUAUGAUUUUGGAUGGAUGUGAUUGUACCUCUUUUGGGAUAAAAUUAAUCCUUGGGCUGGUUUCCUUUGGAUCAA